Molecule: non-coding RNA, 112 nt
Filed under: Pseudo-nitzschia fraudulenta
Lineage: Eukaryota; Bacillariophyta; Bacillariophyceae; Bacillariales; Bacillariaceae
Source: RNAcentral
UCCUACCCCGGCUCCUACAAAGAAACCGACCAAAAAACCGACCAAAAAGCCAACAAAGAAACCAACAAGAAGCCCAACCAAAACACCGACAACUUCUCCCACUGGCUCUCCA